GGCGGCGUGCUUAACACAUGCAAGUCGAACGGUGAAGCCAGCUUGCUGGGUGGAUCAGUGGCGAACGGGUGAGUAACACGUGAGCAACCUGCCCUUCACUUCGGGAUAAGCCUUGGAAACGGGGUCUAAUACCGGAUAUGAGCCUCAUCGCAUGGUGGGUGUUGGAAAGUUUUUCGGUCAGGGAUGGGCUCGCGGCCUAUCAGCUUGUUGGUGGGGUAACGGCCUACCAAGGCGUCGACGGGUAGCCGGCCUGAGAGGGCGACCGGCCACACUGGGACUGAGACACGGCCCAGACUCCUACGGGAGGCAGCAGUGGGGAAUAUUGCACAAUGGCGAAAGCCUGAUGCAGCGACGCCGCGUGAGGGAUGACGGCUUCGGGUUGUAAACCUCUUUCAGCAGGGAAGAAGCGCAAGUGACGGUACCUGCAGAAGAAGCGCCGGCUAACUACGUGCCAGCAGCCGCGGUAAUACGUAGGGGCCAAGCGUUGUCCGGAAUUAUUGGGCGUAAAGAGCUCGUAGGCGGUCUGUCGCGUCUGGUGUGAAACCCAUGGCUCAACUGUGGGCUUGCAUCGGGUACGGGCAGACUAGAGUGCUGUAGGGGAGACUGGAAUUCCUGGUGUAGCGGUGGAAUGCGCAGAUAUCAGGAGGAACACCGAUGGCGAAGGCAGGUCUCUGGGCAGUUACUGACGCUGAGGAGCGAAAGCAUGGGGAGCGAACAGGAUUAGAUACCCUGGUAGUCCAUGCCGUAAACGUUGGGCACUAGGUGUGGGGCAGUUCCACUGGUUCUGUGCCGUAGCUAACGCAUUAAGUGCCCGCCUGGGGAGUACGGCCGC
RNAcentral lists this ribosomal RNA (832 nucleotides) under Promicromonospora sp. IM-0635. Its description in RNAcentral is "bacterial SSU rRNA". It matches the Rfam family "Bacterial small subunit ribosomal RNA", at positions 38 to 889 of the family's 1533-position model. Lineage: Bacteria; Bacillati; Actinomycetota; Actinomycetes; Micrococcales; Promicromonosporaceae. The record is from RNAcentral.